AUGCCAAGGCCGCACCCUGGGCGCACUCCUUGCUGCCCAGACGUGGUCCUACAUCCGAUGCUUGGGCUGGACCGAAGGAGCCACCUGCACCAUGGGGCGCUGCCAGAGGGGCUGUGCACUGCAAGGGACAGGGCAGCGCUCUCCGUGUACUUCCCUUCCAUGUGCUUAUCUCGGACCACCUAUGGGAACAGAUGGUGUUACCGCAAGGGCAAGGGGCUUCUGAGCCAGCACGGCUGCCGGAUGACGUGUGGCCAGUUUCCUCCGGCCCAGCAAACCAGCCACAACGCUCCCACUGGGUCUGAUUUAACGGGUUUCUUUCUGAGGGACAACGAAGACCUCCCCUGCAUGAUCAGAUGCUGCUCUCAUACCAAUCUGGAAACAACCUUCAAAUAUAAGAACCCAGCGCACUGUGCAAAUAAGGAGAAAAGGUUGUGAUUAUAAAAAGGUUUGAAAUCAUAUUUAAAUACUUGGUCUGAUUAUAUUUGAUAAUAUUUUCAGUGAAACUUUGUGCAUUAUAUAAAAAUACUGCUGGUGUCAUCUGACUCCUUUGAUGCACUGCAUUAAAAUUCCUGUGUCUGAGUAAAUAUCAUGGAGUCAACUUUGUUUCUCUUCUGUUAAUAGUUUGGAAUUAGGUCACCAUCCUUGUAAGGAAGAGCUAAGUCUGCACUGCUGAUUUUAGGGAAAUUACCUGUAUAAAAAUGUUUGGAUUUUUUCUCAUGCUCACCUACAGUGACACUGUUCCUUAUCUAUAAUCAGUAAUUUUACUAUCUGUUCUGGUACAUGUAUUCUAUACUGUCAGAUUUUUGUAGAUUCGUUUAUAGUGACCCCUGCUGCAAAAGAUUAAGACUGACAUUUCUCUAAACUUCUAAAAAGGCAUUUACCCAAUUAUUUCAGAGUUCACUUCAAAAGAACUGAGCAGUUGUAUAUUCAAAUUAAGUAUAUAAAAUUUGAGACUCCCUAAUUUGAAUUAUUUUGAAUGAAAUUAAUCAUAUGAGACUUUUUUUCUUCUCAUAAAUGCA
RNAcentral lists this long non-coding RNA (1019 nucleotides) under Anser cygnoides (Swan goose). RNAcentral describes it as "lncRNA (ENSACDG00005003732.1)". Lineage: Eukaryota; Metazoa; Chordata; Aves; Anseriformes; Anatidae. The record is from RNAcentral.